RNAcentral lists this ribosomal RNA (468 nucleotides) under uncultured bacterium. RNAcentral describes it as "partial 16S ribosomal RNA". It matches the Rfam family "Bacterial small subunit ribosomal RNA", at positions 28 to 507 of the family's 1533-position model. The record is from RNAcentral.
GACGAACGCUGGCGGCGUGCCUAACACAUGCAAGUCGAACGGAAAGGCCCUGCUUUUGUGGGGUGCUCGAGUGGCGAACGGGUGAGUAACACGUGAGUAACCUGCCCUUGACUUUGGGAUAACUUCAGGAAACUGGGGCUAAUACCGGAUAGGAGCUCCUGCUGCAUGGUGGGGGUUGGAAAGUUUCGGCGGUUGGGGAUGGACUCGCGGCUUAUCAGCUUGUUGGCGGGGUAGUGGCUUACCAAGGCUUUGACGGGUAGCCGGCCUGAGAGGGUGACCAGCCACAUUGGGACUGAGAUACGGCCCAGACUCCUACGGGAGGCAGCAGUGGGGAAUAUUGCACAAUGGGCGGAAGCCUGAUGCAGCAACGCCGCGUGCGGGAUGACGGCCUUCGGGUUGUAAACCGCUUUCGCCUGUGACGAAGCGUGAGUGACGGUAAUGGGUAAAGAAGCACCGGCUAACUACGUG